AACAUAUAUUGAACAGAUAUUGUAAGUAGAGAUGUACUCUUACAAGAAAUCCCCUCUGCCCAUCUACAGUGUUGGUUUUUUCACCUUUGUGUCAAGGUACCCUACUACUGACCUGUGUAGUAACCAUUUUUUUAUUCCUCAGGAACCCCAAUGAACAUUGAAUUUUACAUUUCUCCCUAUCAAGUUUUGGAAGCAGAACUAAAUCAUGGUAAAGCUAUUUCAGCUACUCUGCUGUUUCAGCAGAAAUAGCUGACAAGAUUUUUUCAAUACUACCUGUUUCAUUAAGCAAAGUUAAUUAGGGGAAGCUCAGAACUGAAAUUUAAAAUUCUAGUUUAGUAGAACAGUUUAUGUGAUGCAGUUUUGCACAGUUUUAAUGUCCAUCCGGAAACUAUUUUCCAUGUCUUGGUUGUUGAUUCAGCUAUUGCUGCUAUCAUCUUUGGGCAACUUUGGCCUUUUGGGUGUGGUCAGUGUAGGCUUCUCUUCACUGCCCACACCACAGCGGCUGUCAGUUGGACCUGAUCUUCCAAGUCCUUACCAUUGUAUAUUUUGUAUGCACAGGAUUAAUAUACACUAAGUUAAGGAAAAUAAUGCCAUUCUCUUUCUCCCUCAGGUUCCCAGAUAUGUGGAACAAAAACAGUUGUGACUGUUGAAGGCACAGAUACACUCCACAAACUGCCUCUUUCUCCAUUAAUUAUAGAGCCUCAAGCUGGACAGGACAGCAACCCUACUUUUUUGCAAAUGACUGAUGAACUCAGCAUGGAUUUGCCAGCCCAUUUUGUUCUGAAGUUUCAUCAGCCUGUUCCAAUGUCUUCAUCCAGUAUUGAAGAGAUACAGAAGCUCACAGGCAUGUUAUAAUUGUUUUUUAAGACUGAGUACUUCUGUGACUAUGCAUUGCUUAUUUGCUUUUUGCUUCCCCAUGUUAAAGUUGCAAGAAGAAUUUGCUUCUUUGGCAGAACAUAUUCUGUUCUACCAGUCCAAGUAUAACAACCAGUGCAAAACACAAAAAUUCUAAGGAAUAUAUGACAAUUACAGGCAAAGUUAAACACUCUACCUCAAAUUCCCAAUUGCAAAAAAGGGGAAUAAGAAAGAAAACCAAUAUUUUUGUCUUUUCAAAACAUUGGGUUUGUUUUUAAUUUUAGCUUUCAUAACCUACUGUCUUAACCUAAUUGCUAAUAAAAAUAAUGACCUGAUUUCAGGAAUUCAGAUUUCUGGCUUGAAACUAGCUCCGCUGUAUGAGCUAAUUGUUCAGUCUACUCUUAAAGAAAAAUGCAGUGAAGACUUGUCUACAAAUAAAUCUUGUUUCUUUGUGUCUCUUCCAGAUCAUCCAAAGCACUGUUACUUCAUAAACAACGGCUCAGAAAAAUCAGGUUUAGCAGGAGCCUUGGUCAGUAAAAUCCCAUUUAGCCAUCCAAAGUGCGUGCCUGGUGUAAUAGAGAUUCUUCGACAUCAAGUGGCAUUUAACACUCUUAUUAGCAGCUGUGUCUCUGAGAAGCAUAUAAAUGAAGGUACAUUGUGUGGCUGGAAGUGAUGGCACAUCACUUAUUAGAGACAAACUAGUUUCUAAACUGGGUGUUGACAGAUUUUACUACUCCCUUGCCAAAACUGUCAUUACUUGUGGAGUACUGUAAAUGACAAAAAAAUUCUUAAAACUGUAUUGAUUAAAAAAAAAAAUAUAUGUUUAUUCUAUGUACAUAAACUAAGAUGUCAAAGUAAUGAAAAAUCAGACUAUUGUAAUAGUAUUUUUAAAAUUCUGACAUGUAAUUCAGCCAAAAAGAAUCCAGCUUCAAUGGUGGAUAUCACUAAACAGUAUUUUUAUUUCUAGAUGAUUCAGAACUGCUUUACUUCGAAGUGGUACCACACAAGAACACCAGCUUUUCUGUCUUUUUCCUUCAUCCUGUGAAAGAGAAUUUAGCCUGUGGUACGUGUGGAAUAAUUGCUACUGUCUUCUUUACUGAGCUGACAGGGGACUUGUUUCUAUCUAGGCUUUUGCACUGUGUUUCUCAGUUACAGUCUAAGGGCCACUCACCAGCGUGCAGGCCAGGAAAAAACACGAAGUGCACGUACUUGUGUAUAAACUGCUUACUAGGUAUUCUGUACUCGGAAUAAUACAGAAAGUAAAUGCAAAUAUUAAAAUCCUGUUUUGUCUCGGCCAGCAUAUAAUUAAUAAAUUGUAACUUCCACUGUUUCUAAUGUAAGUAUAUUAAACAAAAGCAAGUCAAGCAAAUAUAUUGCUGCAAAUCUCUUUCCACUGACUUCAGUCUUACAUCUCUUCAAGCAUCAAAAUAAAAGGAUGGUUUUUGAUGUUUGUAAGUAUUUCAAACCAAAGAUUUUUCUGUUCUGUUCCUUCUUAGUGGUAAUUGAUGUUAUAAGCUCUAGAAAAGUCCAAUGUCACCUUCAUUUAAAUCCUCAAGAUCCAACUCUAAAUUCUACUGAUGACUUUAUAGCAAGAGUUGUGAAACGUUGCAUGUCAGUCCCAGUUGUCAUGAGAGCUGUUUUCAGGAAUGCUGCCAAGGUGAAAGCUGACAGUGAAACACAAGACAUGAACACAGAACAAGAACCUGGAUCAC
RNA transcript from Serinus canaria (Common canary), 2567 nucleotides. It is a transcript of the gene named mediator of RNA polymerase II transcription subunit 1-like, with no coding region annotated. The transcript is spliced from 4 exons. NCBI's taxonomy places the organism in Eukaryota, Metazoa, Chordata, Aves, Passeriformes, Fringillidae. The record is from RefSeq and is a predicted model, not a curated record.